This 443-nucleotide ribosomal RNA is filed under the name uncultured bacterium. RNAcentral describes it as "bacterial SSU rRNA". It matches the Rfam family "Bacterial small subunit ribosomal RNA", at positions 338 to 795 of the family's 1533-position model. The record is from RNAcentral.
CCUACGGGAGGCAGCAGUGGGGAAUCUUGGACAAUGGGCGAAAGCCCGAUCCAGCAAUAUCGCGUGAGUGAAGAAGGGCAUGCCGCUUGUAAAGCUCUUUCGUCGAGUGCGCGAUCAUGACAGGACUCGAGGAAGAAGCCCCGGCUAACUCCGUGCCAGCAGCCGCGGUAAUACGAAGGGGGCUAGCGUUGUUCGGAAUUACUGGGCGUAAAGCGCGCGUAGGCGGAUAGAUAAGUCAGAGGUGAAAUCCCGGGGCCCAACCCCGGAAUUGCCUUUGAUACUGUUUAUCUUGAGUGCAGAGGAGGUAAGUGGAAUUCCGAGUGUAGAGGUGAAAUUCGUAGAUAUUCGGAGGAACACCAGUGGCGAAGGCGGCUUACUGGUCUGCAACUGACGCUGAGGCGCGAAAGCGUGGGGAGCAAACAGGAUUAGAUACCCUAGUAGUC